GUUGCCUCUGUAGUGGACAGUUAAUGCCAGGAUUCCCCAAAUCCUGCCCUUUUCCACUUGGACUCUCCAGUUACUGCAGUGGGCUCACUCUCCAUGGCAAGAUUGUGUUUGGCAGGGCUUGCCCUUCCCUGGGCUCCUCACCACCAGAGCACUCCUGCCCUGAUAUCAGUCCAAUGACCAGACACCACAGUCGGUUGUGGAAUAGGUGGUGUUCAUUCUAAAUAUUACAAUUGCUGGCCCAAUCCAUUUUCUUUCCUGCUCAAGCCAAACUACAACAGAUAAAAUGUAUUAGCCACUUGUUAAAUAUUUCUUGACUCUGAUAUGCCUCUAUCAGAGACCUGUAUUCAUGAAAACACUCAUAGAUGAGCCAAGAAGACAACAUUGUAUGGCAACUACCGCAUUCUCCUAUCCUUCCAUGCACUUCCUGUUUAUUGCUUAGGACUUGAUCAACCUGUAUCUAUUACUGCCUGGGGCACAUCAGAGUCACCCAAAAUCCUGUUAGAUGACUAUGUUGAAAGAGUUGCUCCUGCAUAGGAUGGGGGACAAAUUUUGGACCCCUGAGUGGCACGGUUGUCCUANAGGCUUGAGGGCAAGAAAUGGGAAUCUGCAUCUCUCUCUCAGCAAUCACCCUGUGCUUAUUAUUAUAAUAGCCCAAUUAUCCAUGCAUCUGCUCACAAGGCGGGGGCAGGGCAGCAGGGCCACUCUGGCCUGCGCCCUCUCUUUGGCCCGACCCUCUCCUGGCAGAUGGGAUCAGCCCACGUCUCAUCAGGAGCGAGAGAGGAGAAAUGAGAAAUGGAGAGUCAGAAGGAUUUAAUAUGUCCAUCAACCCCUCCUACUCACUCUCCACUACCUUGUGUGUUUAUUAGUUAGCAUUUUAUGUGGUAAGUUAUCCUGAACAAAUACUAUUAUGGGAUUGAAAAGGGAAACCAAAAGGUAUUUAAAAAUGCCGAGUCAUGGAGGAAGCUUGAAAGGAAUGAUGGGAGUAGAUUUAGAGACCGGGGAGAAAUUAUGUCUCUGGACAUUAACGUUGGAUAUUCUGGAGACUGAUUCCCCCAAAUGAUAACUCUUUAUUCUAAGAAUAAAGGACCCAAAGGACAUGAGGUAGAAAUGGUAAACUUGCUAAUGAUUUACAGGGGUGCUCCACCCUGGCUGUCCAUGAGAAAUGCUUGGGGAAUAAAAAUUAGUCAUGAGGGGACCCACCCCUCAAAGGAGGAUUCCUGGAUGGUGGGGCUCAGGCAUUAAUAUUUUUAAAGGCUCCCCAGAUGAUUUUGAUACACAGGGAAGGCAAAGAAGACCAAAAGACAGUCAGCACUGUUUUCUUCAAUAAAGAAGGAAGUUGGGAGAUGCCCAAAGCAGAAAAGAAACCAUUUGUGGUUUUAAAUACAUGAUACCAAUUUAAUAUAAUACUGACUUUAGUAGCAACUAACACUUUGUGCACUAAGCACUUUACUUGCAUAAAUUCAUGUAAUUCUGAUAAUAAUCUAGGAAGAACACAUAAUUAUUGGCCCCAUUUUACAAAUAAGGGCACCAAGGCUUAGGGAGAUGUAGUAACUUGACCAAAGCCAACAUAUUGACUCUAAUGUGUAACAGGCACAUAAACGUAGAUAGCAUGGAAAAUGCCAAGAUAAGCAAGACACAGGCCGACUCUCAAGUUGCUACCUUGGAGUAGAGGAGCAAAUAAAUGACGAAAAGUCCAAAGUACAAUAUGACAACCGCAUAGAGUUACAAAACAUGCAGGAACCACAGGACAGGGAGAAGGAGCAAAGGCUCUGGGGGAGUGGAGUCAAAUAGGAAGAUAAGCUGCAGAUUCUGCCAGGCGAUGAAGGCCGCAGGGUAGCAGCAGAAGGAGGAGGUCCCAGGGAGAAUGCAUAGUGUACAGAAACACAAGAAAGAGCUGAAAACUGGCAAACGGCCCAGUGCACUGAAGAUUUUUUUUUUUUUAAAAGGCAUAAGGCUGGGGAGGAAGUUUCCCUGAACUGUGGGAGUUUUAAUAGGAUCUUGAAGGUACAGGAUAUGCACAGGUAUCCAAACAGGGGGUGCCAUGGCACAGUGAGUGUUUCAGGAGAUCUUCCAUAGGAAGGCGAAGCAAUCCCAGGCCACCAGGCUUGGAUCUCAGUGAAUGCAAGGAGGACAGAAGAACUAAGGCACCUGGGAAAUAUUUUGCAUCCAGCUCUGAUGCUUGAUCUUGCACUGAGUUAUUAUUCUAUGUAAGAGCCACAGCCCUGGCCUGGCUAGAACUACCCUGAUAAAUCCAUCUUUCUCCAGUGACUGUGGUUGCUGCUAUAGUUUCUAGGGUAAAAGAGGGUGUGUAGUUAUAUUCUCUACAUAUUUUAGAUUUCUGUUGCUUUUAGACUUUGUACUUUUUCUCAGUGUCUAUGAGGACACAUGAUAUUUGAUUUUUCCCAUCAAAAAUGAAAUGAAGAGAAUGAAAACACAGGGUGAUGGCUAGGGAUGACUUCUUUAUAUUUUUCAUAUGGUAGAGUAUUUCUUACUUUCCGCUGCAGAACUUCCACUAGGACCUGGGACUCUGGGGGUGUCACAGUUUGGCUAAUGAAAAAUAUAUUUACUAGCAACUUUAUGUUUUAUCUUUAAAAUUCAUGUAAAUUCUAUAAUCCUGUGAUAUAUCCAGACUUUCCUGUUAUGACAUACCUGGUUUAUCCCAUGACUUUGUAGGAACUUCUGGCUCCCCACCAUGGAUUGCCCUUUGUCAAAAGACCAUCCUGAUAAUUUCAGCGUAGGACUGCAUUUUUUACUUGAACAUGAGUCACUUGAAAGGCUGCUUUAAGUUAUCUAUUUCACUAUAAUCAAAGAAAACAGCUUGUAAACCUUAUUUGCUCUUUUUUCCUCUUCCGCACAGGCUAACGUAGACAUUAACGUAUAUGUCAUCGUGCCACUUGGUGAAAAAAUGCUCUUCAAUUAAAGACCCCCUUUGUUUACAAGGUCAGUAAAGAUAUGACGAAUCUAUUAAAAGUCUAAUCACCUUCUCCACUGUGCAAAAUCUACGCAGGGGAAAGACCAGAGGGGAAGGAGAGUUUCAGAAAAAGAAGUCGACUUGGACAUUUGACCAAUAUAGAGUGACAGCAGGAAGACAUCCUUGAUCUUCAUGAAAAGUAGGUACCCUCUGUAGAUCUUCAUCUUCAUGCACAAUGACACCUCCUGCUCCAAAAGCUCAUGGCCCCCCAGGUAUAUUUGCUGUUGCUUCUCUCCUUUCCAAGGUUCUGGCUUCCUUUCAAGCCAUUAGAUUCUCACAUCUAACACCUUCUUCUCAGCCAGCUUUUCUGUGGCUUUUCUUCCUUAUGGGCCUUUCAUAGCUCAUUCGCUGCUUCUUUUUGUUCUUUUUGGCACUGGGGGUUGAACCAGGAGUCUUUACCACUGAGCUACAUCUCUGGUUCUUUUAAUUUUUUUUUUUUUUUUAAAUUUUGAGACCCAAUCUUGCUAAGUUGCUUAGGGCCUUGCUCAGUUGCUGAGGUUGGCCUUGAACUUGCAAUCCUCUGCCUCGGCCUCCUGAGCUACUGGAAUUACAGGUGUGCACUACUGCACCCUUGAGCUUAUAGCUCACUCAUUUCUAUUUUUUGUUUAAUGUUAGGGAUUGGUCCCAGGGCUUUGUGCAUGCUAAACAUGCUCUCCAUCACUGACCUACACCCUUAACACCUUUAUCCCAUCUUGAUAAAGCACUUAGUAGAGUCCAUCUUCUCACCCCAUCUGUUGCUUCUCAGAUUUCUCCAGCGAUGUUGCCUCUGUAGUGGACAGUUAAUGCCAGGAUUCCCCAAAUCCUGCCCUUUUCCACUUGGACUCUCCAGUUACUGCAGUGGGCUCACUCUCCAUGGCAAGAUUGUGUUUGGCAGGGCUUGCCCUUCCCUGGGCUCCUCACCACCAGAGCACUCCUGCCCUGAUAUCAGUCCAAUGACCAGACACCACAGUCGGUUGUGGAAUAGGUGGUGUUCAUUCUAAAUAUUACAAUUGCUGGCCCAAUCCAUUUUCUUUCCUGCUCAAGCCAAACUACAACAGAUAAAAUGUAUUAGCCACUUGUUAAAUAUUUCUUGACUCUGAUAUGCCUCUAUCAGAGACCUGUAUUCAUGAAAACACUCAUAGAUGAGCCAAGAAGACAACAUUGUAUGGCAACUACCGCAUUCUCCUAUCCUUCCAUGCACUUCCUGUUUAUUGCUUAGGACUUGAUCAACCUGUAUCUAUUACUGCCUGGGGCACAUCAGAGUCACCCAAAAUCCUGUUAGAUGACUAUGUUGAAAGAGUUGCUCCUGCAUAGGAUGGGGGACAAAUUUUGGACCCCUGAGUGGCACGGUUGUCCUACCCCAAGGAAUUGGGAAGCAACUGGAAGGAGGGCAAAAGGGAAAGUAUGUCUGGUCAGAAAUACACGCACAAGGAGUCUCAACUGGAAAGUUUACAGUGAGGGAAGAAACACUGAAGAGAACUGUAAUCCCUUGAAACUGCCUGAACCUAAUACAAGGGACACUUUCAGGGGACACGUUGGGAAGAGUUGAAGCCACAAUUGGAUUUGUUACCUGAAGUCAGGGUUGGAUACAGGAAAAUGGUUGAGCAGAAGCAAAAGGGAAACAUGAGAAGAGCUCAGGACUUGGGGAGAAGAGAAGUGCCGCAGUCAGGCUGGGCACAAAUAACCGGGAGGUCAAGCCACUUGUAGAUUCAAGCAGGAAUGAACUUUAUUUUCAAACUCACACAAACGCCACCCACGCAACCCUCCAGAAACUCUGCGCGCUCUCAACCGGAACUCAACCAACCACGCGAACUCUCUAGGAACCUCGCGAGAGCUCAACCGGAACUCAACAGGAACUCCGCGAGAACUCAAAAAUAGCGGGCACCAGAGACAGCAGGAACCGCCUCCUUCUGGCAAAAUGCCAGGCACCAUCUUGACCUGGCCGUGGCUCUCAACAGAGAAGGAGGAAUAAACUCUUAAGGUCAACUCAAACAAGAACCAAAGACCCAAGUGUUGGGUGGGUAGAGGUCGACCACGUACCUUGGUCAAGUCCCUCAUUUCCUUGCUGGAGGGGUGGAAAUCUUUUCAAGGAGAGGAUCUUGGCACCGACCACAGGCUGCUAGGUCAAGCAGUGACAGCAGAGAGGUUACAAACUGCCCUGGUGUGCUGGCUUCCCUGUGGAGAGAGCGACAUAAGCACAGAUCCUGGCUAGUAGGGUUUUCUCCGGACUCCACGCCCACCAGGUCCCAGAGUUUCUGCUCACAACAGCGGAAAACAAUUACCAAAGAUACAAGGUGAGGAUGCUGUAUUAUUUAUACACCGACUGCCCACCUCUAGACUUUCCAGACAGCAACGUCAGUGUUUUCUACCCAACAAUAAAAAUUUGUGAAUGGCCAUUUAUUUGCAGAAAUAAACAUAAUCUCAAAAGGACUGUACCCAAUGAAACUCUUGUUACUGGGUUCCAUGACUUUUCUGAAAGGGCCAAUUAAAUGCAUCACGCAGGGAAAGCCACUUAGAACAGACCCUGUCAAAUGUUCUUCAUGAAAAGGGACCUGGAGUCAUAGUACAAAGACUUCCUUGGGAGGCCAGGCCUUCCCUGAUGCUUAUCUGAAAGACUCACCAUUCUCUACAUGUGAAUGAGAUUUCUUGUUGUCAUGGUUACAGUUAACAGUAAUUCAAUUCAACAUAAUGACAUAUAUAUGCAUCAAUGGUGACAUCAGAGUUGACCCCUCUGUGUCUGAAAAGAAGCUCUGAUGCCUGUCUUUGGACGUCCCAGGAGGGCACUCUGCAGCCCUACGUAGCCUUGGGCUUCUAUGCAUUCCUCUCCUUCACAGUUAUUGAAAUCUACUAUGUGGCAGGUCCUCUGCUGGACCUAGAGAUACUGUAAUAAAUACCUCAAUGACUAAGGAAAUUGGAAUUUGGAUGUAAAAAACAAGACCAAGUAGUCUACCACACAGGAUAAUGGUGUCAAGUAAAGGAAGGCACUGCAGAGGCCCACUCCAAAUGAACCGCUCGGGUUCAUUUAGUUAUGAAAAAUGGCAUGCAUUUCUUUCCUAUAGUGUCCCAGUGAACUACUACAUUAGUGACUUAAAAUAACCAAAAUGUGUACAUUAGAAUUCUGAUGAGGGUCUCAAAGGGCUUAAAUCAAAGUGUUGAUAGCCCUGUGUUCCUUUUUGGAGACUCCAGGGGGAAAAAAAAUUCCAGUUUUUAAAGGCAGCCCACAUUCCUUGGCUCCUGGCCCCUUCC
Molecule: long non-coding RNA, 6196 nt
Filed under: Marmota monax (woodchuck)
Lineage: Eukaryota; Metazoa; Chordata; Mammalia; Rodentia; Sciuridae
Source: RNAcentral